UGAGGAAUAUUGGUCAAUGGGCGAGAGCCUGAACCAGCCACGUCGCGUGAAGGAAGACUGACCUUACGGUUUGUAAACUUCUUUUGUAGAGGGGUAAUGGCAGAUACGUGUAUUUGCGUGAAAGUACUCUACGAAUAAGCAUCGGCUAACUCCGUGCCAGCAGCCGCGGUAAUACGGGGGAUGCGAGCGUUAUCCGGAAUUAUUGGGUUUAAAGGGUGCGCAGGUGGCUAAUCAGAUCAGUGGUGAAAAGCUAUGGCUCAACCAUGGUCUUGCCAUUGAAACCGUAUAGCUAGAGCGGAGACGAGGUAGGCGGUAUCUGUGGUGUAGCGGUGAAAUGCAUAGCUAACACACAGCACUCCGAUUGCCAAGGCAGCUUACCAGCCUUUAUCUGACACUUAGGCACGACAGCGUGGGGAUCAAACAGG
This 425-nucleotide ribosomal RNA is filed under the name Verrucomicrobiota bacterium. Its description in RNAcentral is "Verrucomicrobia bacterium partial 16S ribosomal RNA". It matches the Rfam family "Bacterial small subunit ribosomal RNA", at positions 355 to 776 of the family's 1533-position model. Lineage: Bacteria; Pseudomonadati; Verrucomicrobiota. The record is from RNAcentral.